UUCGCGGUCUCCUACCCUUCUACCAUCCCCACGGCCGGCCGCCCCCUCCCCGCCGCCUGACUGCUGCCAACCAUGUCCGCAGUCCGGCCGGCGUCUCGCAGCGGCGGUCAGCAGACUCUGACCCCAUCGUCGCCGACCUCCUCUCCGCGCCCGCUCCCCCCGCCUCCUCUCUCUCACCACGCUCUCCCUUGCCGAAGCGCUCCACUCCCUCCUCGCCGCGCGCCCUCCCACGCUCUUACCCCCGCCUCCCUCGGGCUCUUCCUCUCCCACCCCGGGUGCCACCGCCUCCCGCCCACCUCCGCGCGACUCCUCUCCAGGCUUCUUUCGCGCCCCUGCUCAUCCCCCGCCCAGGCAGCCGGAUUCCUCCGCGCCGGUCACCUCUCCGUUCAACGCCCCCUUGGCCGCGCUCGCCCGCGUCCUCGACCUCCUGGCACAACCCAGCUCCUUGCCUCCACGCGCAACGCCGCCGUCCGGCCCGACGUCGCCUGGUAUGGCAUGCUUGCCAACGGGCUCUGCAAAGCCGGCCGCGCUCAGGUCGCUCGAUGGAAUGCCCGGCCCAAACUCGCGCGUUCGCCCGGAUGUUGUCAUUCGUGCUGAACACUGUCGUGAUGGGAUGCGCAAGAGCGGGAGGAUUGGUGAUGCUCCUGACUUCUUCAAGGAUAAAAGAACGGCUUGGCCUGAAGGCAGCGGCAAUGCCGUGACAGGCUACAGCACUCUGGUUGGGGAUUCCCUCCACAGUAACAAUGUGUGGGUGUAGCCAUGGAUUGGGUUUGUUCCAUGAGAUGGUGGAUUAAGGGCUCUCACCAGAUGAAGUCAUGUAUUUUACCAUGAUAUUGGGACUUGGCGUCGUCGAUGAUGAAGGCAGGGUUUCAGCUGGAUGCAAAGGCAUACAAUAUUUUGAUUGGUGGAUUUAGCAGGAGGAAGAGGUUACAGAGGCUUAUCAGUGGCGUGGUGUACACCUACAAUACCUUGUUGUCUGCUUUGUGCAUAGUAGGACAUUUCUCGGCUGUGGAUGAGUUAUUGGGGAAGAUGAUGGUUGUCGGUCUUCUGAGGUCACCUUUGGUACUCAGCCCAACACAGUGAUAUACAAUACUUUGAUUAACUUUGUCUGCAAGAGCGGGGAUACUAAUUCACCCAUUGAACUAUUUGAUAAGAUGAGGGAGAAGCAUGUUCACCUGCAAUGCAUUGUUGAAGGGAUUUCAGGAUAAGAAGAUACUAGAAAAGGCUUUUGAACUGAUGGACCAGAUGAGGGAAGAGAGGUGCACACCUGAUAAAGUAACCAUGGAUGCUCUCAUAGAAUGGCUACAUGUCAUCAGUGAAACAGACAGAUUAAAGCGUUUAUGCAGCUAAGGGAGCAUAUGUAACGAACAUGCUUAAGAAGAUUGCUCGCAAAAUGAAGAUAAUGAUCCUGAAUAAUUCUUCAGAUUACUUAGAAGCUGCACCACUAAUGUAUCCUAUUCCUAGCUGACCUUAUAUAGGAGAUGCUGUUGUGAUCAGAAUUAUCUGCAAUCUGCAAUCAUAGCCUGUAUUAGAACCCAAUUUCUAUUAAAUCUACAGAUGCUAUAGGAUAGGCCAUACCGAUUUCCACGCAAUCUCAUACAACACGUAUUGUGAGUGCUGCUUAGUUUGUUCCUAGUCUGGUUUUGUAGUCAUGAGUAAAUGUGACUGCAGAAUGCAGAAAGUAUAUAUUUCAAGUCCUAAUACCACUAGUUCAUGACAAGUAGUAGUGGAUAGACACCAAUGCAUGAUUCACAACUCUUUUUAUUCUUCAUUGGAUAAGGUUGAAUAGGUUCAGUUGGAAAAGAGUAAGAAUAUGGGCAUGCUAGGAUUAAAAUCUUUAAAGUUCUGUCUGCAAUGGCUAUGGUCACCUUACCUUUGAAGAAACAAUAUGCCUGUUGUGGAAGGAGGCUUUUGAAAUGUUAAGCUUCAGAGGAUUCUUAGCAGUACAAAACAAAAAAUCAGCCUAAACUUUGCAGCUUUGCAGGACUGUACGAGGAUUGGUUAAGAUGACUCUAAAUAAACCAUUUUCCAGUUAGAACAUUGCUGUUGACUUGGAGGAAUUGCAGCUCUGUUCACUGCCUGUCGUGCUUGCUUGCCAAUUGUGUGUGUUUUUGAUACCUGUGGUCAAUCUUAACUAAAUGUAGUAGAGAGAAGGUUUAAAUGCAGCGUCAACCGCACAUCACGAUGAAGAGCAUAGUAACAGUCGAUGGAUGUAAUUUUCGGGCAUCAAAAAGUGAGCUAACUCAGCGUAUGCAGCGGCUGCCAGUAACGCUGACUUGCUCCUGCAAGUUGUUUCUGCUAACGCUGGAAGUGAGGUGGUACGUCUUAAAAGGAAAGGAGACCUCAUCAUCCUCAUCGGCGAGGAUCUUGGAGCAGUUGAAGCAGACGCAGCGCAUGAUGGAGAGCACGGUCUUGAUGAAGCCGAUGUGGAACAUGGGCUUUGCGAGCUCGAGGUGGCCAAAGUGGCCCGGGCACUCGGCCAUCCCAGCCAUGCAUGUCUCACACUUGGUCCUGCGGUCGAUGGUGCCCAGACGAGGGUCACUCAAACCACCAGGCUUUGGCUUCCCCUUCUCCAUGGUCUCUGCAUGCUCUAUCACCGCCACCGACAUUUGUCGCUGCAGAAGCAACGCAACACGUACAAAAUCCAUCAGAUUGCAUCCUAACAUUAAUGUCACUCCAUCAUUAAUGCACAACGGUCAAUGGUCAUUUGUUAAACUAAUAUACCUCCUUCGUUCUAAAAAUAGAAGUUCCUUAUGUCCCAAAUUAUAUGCUUAUUAAAACCUAUCGAAGUCAAACUCUACCAACUUUGGCCAAGUUUAUAGAAAUAUUUAUCAGUGAAAUAUAAUUUGAUAUGUUAUAUAUUUGGUAAAUAAUUUUCUCUAUAAACUUGGUCAAAUUUUGUGAAGGCCAACCUUUGUGAAAACCAGCGCGUAUUAUGGGACAAAGUGUGCAUUAAUUUUUCUAGAAGUCAUUUUUUCCAUGUUUGGCUGAGUUUGUAGCAAAAUAUACCAAUAUCAUCAAUCUACUUAUUUUGUUUUCUCUAUAUAAAUUUGGUAAUGGUUAGAAAAUUUUGGUCAAAUCAAUACACUUCAUAUUUUGAAACAGUCAUACUGUUAAACCUUGCCAAAAAAAAAACUAAAAAACCCCGCAAAACAAAACUGUGCAAACUGCUACCAAAACCGCCAAACUCAGAGUUAUCCGAAUAACUCGGGCAAUCACGGGGCACAACUUGUAACUCAAGUAUUAUUAAUUCCGCUCGAUCAGCAAAAAGUGCGCCGACGACUCAACCAAGCAACAGUCCUUGGCGAGUUAGGUUUUUCAAAAAGUUGAGCUUAGUUAGUUACAAUUAAUAUUAAUGUUGAACAUCAUCUUGUGUGUUGUCGCCCCAUCAUAGUUGGUUGCCGUUCAUCCAGAUCCAGAGCUCGACCGGAGGAGCUAGCCGAGUUAGCCCCAAACGACGCAAACCAAACCCGCUCGAGUUACUACUUCAAACUCCACCCGAAAGCAGAGAGAGAAGCAAAGCAAGGCGGCGGCGGGAGGCGGGGCAUUACGAUUUCGUCGGGGCUGAGGAUGCCGAACUGCACCAGCUGCACCCUGGCCGUCUCCGCCGGCGAGUAGGCGAACCGCGCGUCCAUCGUCGCUCAACUUUCAACUUCUCUUUUUCGAGGCUAA
Molecule: long non-coding RNA, 3672 nt
Organism: Triticum aestivum (bread wheat)
Lineage: Eukaryota; Viridiplantae; Streptophyta; Magnoliopsida; Poales; Poaceae
Exons: 4
Source: RefSeq, a predicted model, not a curated record